AGAGUAGAGGGGUGCUCGAAAGAGAGCCGUACACAGGUGCUGCAUGGCUGUCGUCAGCUCGUGUCGUGGAGAUGUUGGGUUAAGUCCCGCAACGAGCGCAACCCUUGUCAUUAGUUGCUACAUUCAGUUGGGCACUCUAAUGAGACUGCCGUGACAAGCCGGAGGAAGGUGGGGAUGACGUCAAGUCCUCAUGGCCCUUAUAGGUGGGGCUACACACGUCAUACAAUGGCUGGUACAAAGGGUUGCCAACCCGCGAGGGGGAGCCAAUCCCAUAAAGCCAGUCGUAGUCCGGAUCGUAGUCUGCAACUCGACUACGUGAAGUCGGAAUCGCUAGUAAUCGUGGAUCAGAAUGUCACGGUGAAUACGUUCCCGGGUCUU
RNAcentral lists this ribosomal RNA (378 nucleotides) under uncultured Rhodoferax sp. RNAcentral describes it as "bacterial SSU rRNA". It matches the Rfam family "Bacterial small subunit ribosomal RNA", at positions 1002 to 1382 of the family's 1533-position model. Lineage: Bacteria; Pseudomonadati; Pseudomonadota; Betaproteobacteria; Burkholderiales; Comamonadaceae. The record is from RNAcentral.